GCCCAGGUAGCUCAGUCAGUAGAGCAUGAGACUUUUAAUCUCAGGGUUGUGGGUUCAUGUCCCAUGUUGGGCU
This is a non-coding RNA of Peromyscus eremicus (cactus mouse), 73 nucleotides long. The record is from the annotation of a RefSeq genome assembly. NCBI's taxonomy places the organism in Eukaryota, Metazoa, Chordata, Mammalia, Rodentia, Cricetidae.